UACGUAGGGUGCAAGCGUUAAUCGGAAUUACUGGGCGUAAAGCGUGCGCAGGCGGUUUGGCAAGAAGGAUGUGAAAUCCCGGGGCUUAACCUCGGAACUGCAUUCUUAACUGCCAGGCUAGAGUAUGUCAGAGGGGGGUAGAAUUCCACGUGUAGCAGUGAAAUGCGUAGAGAUGUGGAGGAAUACCGAUGGCGAAGGCAGCCCCCUGGGAUAAUACUGACGCUCAUGCACGAAAGCGUGGGGAGCAAACAGG
RNAcentral lists this ribosomal RNA (253 nucleotides) under uncultured bacterium. Its description in RNAcentral is "partial 16S ribosomal RNA". It matches the Rfam family "Bacterial small subunit ribosomal RNA", at positions 524 to 776 of the family's 1533-position model. The record is from RNAcentral.